UCAUCGAGUCUUUGAACGCACAUUGCGCCUUUUGGUAUUCCGAGAGGCACGUCUGUUUGAGCGUCAGCAAAACCCUCCGGCCCCCCGGUUUGUUCCGCGGGGCACGGGCCAGCUGGCGCGGGGACUGGCCGCCGCGCUCCGGUGCAGGCAGGCCUUCCCCCGCUUAAAGGUGUGGAAGUUAGCGGGGUGCGCCCCGGAUCGCGACGACUCGUAAGCACUUACCGUCGGAAGCGUCCGGGACUGCCCCCGCCUCAAAACACGAGUGGCCCUCGCGGCCCUCCGAACCCUUGACCUCAGAUCAGACGAGGAUACCCGCUGAACUUAAGCAUAUCAAUAAGCGGAGGAAAAGAAACCAACAGGGAUUGCCUCAGUAGCGGCGAGUGAAGCGGCAAGAGCUCAGAUUUGAAAUCCGGUGCGGUUCCCGUGCCCGAGUUGUAAUCUGGAGAGGAUGUUCCGGCGAGUCCGGCCGCCCAAGUUCCUUGGAACAGGACGUCUCAGAGGGUGAGAACCCCGUACCUGGCGGCCCGGGUUAGCCAUGUGGAACUCCUUCGACGAGUCGAGUUGUUUGGGAAUGCAGCUCAAACUGGGUGGUAAAUUCCAUCUAAAGCUAAAUAUUGGCGGGAGACCGAUAGCGCACAAGUAGAGUGAUCGAAAGAUGAAAAGCACUUUGAAAAGAGAGUUAAAAAGUACGUGAAAUUGUUGAAAGGGAAGCGCUUGCCAUCAGAACGGGCGUCGGCCGAUCAGCGUUCCUUCUGGUUCGUGCACUCGGCCGGCCGCCUUGCCAGCAUCGGUCGCCGCGGCGGGACAAAGACGGCGGGAACGUGGCUCCCCCCGGGGAGUGUUACAGCCCGCCGUGCAAUG
RNAcentral lists this ribosomal RNA (861 nucleotides) under uncultured Orbiliaceae. Its description in RNAcentral is "eukaryotic LSU rRNA". The stretch from base 289 to 861 matches the Rfam family "Eukaryotic large subunit ribosomal RNA", at positions 1 to 575 of the family's 3401-position model. The record is from RNAcentral. Lineage: Eukaryota; Fungi; Ascomycota; Orbiliomycetes; Orbiliales.